Molecule: RNA transcript, 1818 nt
Organism: Carassius auratus (goldfish)
Lineage: Eukaryota; Metazoa; Chordata; Actinopteri; Cypriniformes; Cyprinidae
Gene name: serine/threonine-protein kinase PSK2-like
Exons: 9
Source: RefSeq, a predicted model, not a curated record
UCGAUUUGCUCAUUUUAUGCUUUGAAGUCUCCAGAGUAACGUACUUGGUAGCGACUGUUAGCGACUGACAAACGGUGUUAUCAUGGGACUGCUUUCUAGACUGAAAAAAGUGACUGGUUUGGAGAGUGUACAAGAACCCUGUGUACACCCCAAAGACUCCCCCAUCAUGACGGAGAACCGUCAACCGGCGCCGGUUGGUGCUCUUGAGACCGAUGUAGGGAGAAAGAUGAAGAGCUUCUGGAAGUGGGCCGCUCUUCACUUUGUUUCCCGCAGAAAGGGAACAUAUGACCUGGCCAAAGCUGAGGAGAAAUACGGGAUAGAGGCAGAAACACAGUGGAGAGAUAACGAUGAUCCAGCUCCUGAAGACCUCCUUGAUGCUGAAGAACAGCAGAAACACAGCGUCCUGGACAAGAACCAGAGUGAACUCUGUGUACAUCCUAAAGACGGCCCCAUCACGUCAGAGAGCCGUCAUCCUCAUCUGUCUGUUAGUGCUGCUGAGAUUGAUGAAGGGAGAGAGGAGGAGGAGAAGAAGAAGAAGAAGAAGAGCUUCUGGAAGUGGGCCGCUCAUCACUUUCCUUGCAGUGGAGCUGGAAGAUAUAAUCUGUCCGAAGCCGAGGAGAAAUGCUGGAAAGAGGCGGUAACACAGUGGAGAGAUAGCGAUGACCAGAGUGUACACGAACACUGUGUACAACCCAAAGACUCCCCCACCAGCUCUGAAGAGAUGCCUGUUAGUGCUGUUGAGAACGAUGGAGGGAGAACGGAGGCAGGGAGAGAGGAAGUCCUCCUCACUGCUGAGGAACAGCUCGUGCAGGACAUCCUGGACAAGGGUCACAUUCGCAAGCAAUAUAAAAUCGGCCACAUGCUUGGUGAAGGAGGAUGUGGCAGUGUUUAUGAAGGGACUCGCUGCGAGGAUGGACUUAAGGUGGCUGUGAAAUGUUCAGAGAAGACGCCAGGCAUGUCAUAUAUCAGAGUGCCUGGUCAUCUCAAACGUCUGCCAAUGGAGAUUGGCCUGAUGCUCAUGGCCAACAAUGGACCCAGCGUUUCCCAGAUCAUUAAGCUGCUUGACUGGGAGGAAGACAAAGAUCACUACGUGAUAGUCAUGGAGCGACCAGUGCCUUGCGUGGAUUUGUUUAGUUUUGUGGAUGAUGAAGGAAGCCUUGACGAGGGGAUUGCAAGAAAUAUUAUGCGGCAGGUCAUCGAUGCCGCUAAAACUUGCUGUGAUCGUGGCGUCUUCCAUCGUGAUAUAAAACUGGAGAACAUCUUGGUGAACCAGGACACCAUGGAGGUCAAAUUAAUUGACUUUGGGUGUGGUGCAGUCAUGAAGAAAUCUGCCUUCAAAUCCUUUAGUGGCACGAAACCGUACUGUCCACCUGAGUUCAACUUGAAGGGCAGGUACAAAGCAAAGCCAACCACAGUGUGGACUCUAGGGUUCAUCUUGUAUGAAAUGCUGUGCGGGGAAUGUCCUACAUCCUACGACCGACACAAGAUCACUGUGAACCUCUGGACCAGACCUGGCUUGUCAAAAGGUGAGAUCUUCAUCAAACAAUGAACUCCAGAUCAUACAGAAAGGACGGAUAGCUUCAAAGAGAGCAGGUGUAAAGUAAAUGUUUAUAAUCAAACAUCUCUCUCUUUUUUUCUCUUCACAGAAUGCUGCCAGAUGAUUUGUGAUUGUCUGCAGCCGGAUCCACAGAAGAGACUCAGUCUGGACGAGAUGCAUCUCCACGACUGGUUUAAGGACAUGGAGUAAAACACAACUUCAGAGAACAACUCCUGUCAUGGCCACCGUGUUGUUUUCUGUCUUCAGUCAGCUUUGUGUCU